This 253-nucleotide ribosomal RNA is filed under the name uncultured bacterium. RNAcentral describes it as "partial 16S ribosomal RNA". It matches the Rfam family "Bacterial small subunit ribosomal RNA", at positions 524 to 776 of the family's 1533-position model. The record is from RNAcentral.
UACGUAGGCAGCAAGCGUUGUUCGGAAUUACUGGGCGUAAAGCGAGUGUAGGCGGUCUGCCAAGUCUGUUGUGAAAUCUCCUGGCUCAACUGGGAGGGUGCGACGGAAACUGGCAGGCUUGAGUGCGGGAGAGGAGAGUGGAAUUCCUGGUGUAGCGGUGAAAUGCGUAGAGAUCAGGAGGAACAUCAGUUGCGAAGGCGGCUCUCUGGACCAGCACUGACACUGAGGCACGAAAGCGUGGGGAGCAAACAGG